GCACCCGUAGCUCAGCUGGAUAGAGCAUCAGUUUGCGGUACUGAGGGCCAUAGGUUCGACUCCUAUCGGGUGCACCA
This 77-nucleotide transfer RNA is filed under the name Deltaproteobacteria bacterium. Its description in RNAcentral is "tRNA-Arg". It matches the Rfam family "tRNA". Rfam says of the family: Transfer RNA (tRNA) molecules are approximately 80 nucleotides in length. Their secondary structure includes four short double-helical elements and three loops (D, anti-codon, and T loops). Lineage: Bacteria; Pseudomonadati; Myxococcota; Myxococcia. The record is from RNAcentral.